UUCAAACACCUUUUUGUCCCUCACGGUAGUGUGGAUUAGAGAGUGUCCUUUAAACAUACUGUAUUUCCUUUGAGAAAUAAAGUAUAGAAGUCAAAAGCAUGAACAUGCACACGUGUGUGUCUAAAAAUAUUGUCACUAAUAACAAACAAGGGUUGAUAAUAAAAAUAAAAAAAAACCUUUAUUUAUAUAGUACCUUUAGAACAGCAUUUAUUAUAAUUACAAUCAUACAUCUUAAUUGACCUACAAAGUGUGCAUGUAUUGGAUCACAGGAUUGGAUUGUCAUUCACUGAUCAGUCAGUCAGCAUGACAGCUGGACAAACUGUAGUGUUUACUGUUGUGUUUAUUGGGAUCCAGAAAAACAAUCAUAAAAUAAUCACAAUCUCUAUUCUCUAACAUACAAAAAAGAACACAACAUUAUAUCUGCCGCUAUUUCCUCCCAUGAUUCCUCACAUCAGGUUCUGCAAAUGUCUAUUGUACCUUAAUGAAGUUUAAUGUGAUUCUAAUCUCUCAUUCUCUCUUGAAGAAGCUGACGGGUCAUAAUACUGGUCAUGGCAUGGCACCUGGAAUGAAUGAAAUCAUGUCAGCUCUUCACGCACCCCUUAGCAGGCAGCACAGUGGCUGUUUCAAAGAGGGCCUUCCUGCGGCUGAAUAGAUCACGCAUGACCAUUUUUGCCCAGGAGCUGGCUGUCCUGGUAUUCACAAAGGAGGGCCUUGCACAGUCCACCCUUACUGGAAAGUCUGGGAGGGGGGGGCCGCCAAAAACACAGAUUGAUGUUGCCAAAGUGCAGGCUAUUACAGGUAUGUAAUUGUUUUGAGUUACAUGUAGUCUAUUUAAAAGCUUCAGUGAUUUCUAUAGCAGCUAGAUCACACGGAAACUGACCACCAGUAAUUACUAAAUACAUGUUAGACUAUUUACUGGUAGCAGUAUUGGUAUACCAUACUGAUAACAUUUCUCAGAGUUUCCAGAGGGGUAUUCCAGAAAGCAGGUUAUGUGAAAACUUGAACCCUGAGAUUUGUUUUUCUGAAUGGGAGGUAUCUUAAGGGGGUCGCACACCGGAUGAGAAGCGCAGUGCCGCGCCGCGUCGCGUGUAGGACAACUCGAGGUAUCGCACACCAGACACGCUUUUUCUCAGUUUAUGGCCAAUAUUGUUAUGUUUAAGGACAUCAUGGAAUUAAGAUAAUGUCUGUAAUAUGUUAUGAUUGUACUGUUAAAUACAAUCGUUGCUAAGUCUGCAGUCUGAACACUUUACCUCAGAGCGUCCAUUAACUGAAUGAAUUGAGAAUAUCACCUGAAAAUCCGAUAACUUCAGCAGUUUUCAUCCACGCAGCUGAUUUCUGUAAAUGAAUGCAAAACUAAAUGUAUAUUGCAGCACUGGGUGACGUCAGUAUAUACAUUAACGACGAUUUGUGACAAAUAAAUGUAAAUUUAAUAUAAAACUAUGUAAAUGG
Cyprinus carpio (common carp) is the source of this 1449-nucleotide long non-coding RNA. The record is from Ensembl. Lineage: Eukaryota; Metazoa; Chordata; Actinopteri; Cypriniformes; Cyprinidae.